UCCUUGGUGGCUCAGAGGGUAAAGCGUCUGCCUACAAUGCAGGAGACCUGGGUUCAAUCCCUGGGUCAGGAA
This 72-nucleotide transfer RNA is filed under the name Ovis aries (sheep). It matches the Rfam family "tRNA". From Rfam's summary of the family: Transfer RNA (tRNA) molecules are approximately 80 nucleotides in length. Their secondary structure includes four short double-helical elements and three loops (D, anti-codon, and T loops). Lineage: Eukaryota; Metazoa; Chordata; Mammalia; Artiodactyla; Bovidae. The record is from Rfam by way of RNAcentral.